GCUACUGUUGAGCACAUCAGCACAUCGGAUAUURUGUCCCUUCCUCCUCGUGUUCGUCCCAUUACUUGGUGCGUCWACAAGGUUAAGACUCGCUCUGAUGGUUCUCUUGAACAUUACAAAGCUCGUCUUGUGGCUCGUGGCUUUCAGUAGAAUCAUGGUCCUAAUUACGAUGAGAGUUUCAGCUYAUGCGGGCCAUACGACAAUUGUUCACACACAUCUUGUUGCGGCCUUUAUUCGUCACUCCGUCUCGGCUUGAUGUUAACAAAGACUUUUUUAAUGGUGAAUUUUGUCAGGGGUUUUACGUGCAGCCACCACUUGGGUAUUCCACAUCUAGAUUCUCAUGUUCAUKKUUUUACNGUCAAUGUAACUUCCCUGCCAGUCGAUAGUCGAGGCACUCUUGGCAGUUUGUCUUGCAUGUUCCUU
This 423-nucleotide long non-coding RNA is filed under the name Hordeum vulgare. RNAcentral describes it as "long non-coding RNA (HVUL_LNC019580)". Lineage: Eukaryota; Viridiplantae; Streptophyta; Magnoliopsida; Poales; Poaceae. The record is from RNAcentral.